AACACCUCAAACCUCUUGGUUUUUUCCAAGAGUUUUGGACUUGAGCAAACCCAACACCUUUUCUCACGAUUCGGUGGCGGGUUGCUUGAAAUGCAGGUGCAGCUGGACAUUCUCCUGAGCUAAAAGCAUAUCUAUUUAGUCCCGUCAAACGGAUUAUUACUUUUGCUGCAGCUAACAUAAAGGGAGUUUGACCGUAUUGGCUGACUGAUGCAGGAUUUCACAGAGUCGGAAACGAUUCUGUCAA
Molecule: unclassified non-coding RNA, 244 nt
Filed under: uncultured Mortierella
Lineage: Eukaryota; Fungi; Mortierellomycota; Mortierellomycetes; Mortierellales; Mortierellaceae
Description: sequence contains ITS2
Source: RNAcentral